UACGGAGGGGGCUAGCGUUGUUCGGAAUUACUGGGCGUAAAGCGCACGUAGGCGGCUUUGCAAGUCAGAGGUGAAAGCCCGGGGCUCAACCCCGGAAUUGCCUUUGAGACUGCAUCGCUAGAAUUGUGGAGAGGUAAGUGGAAUUCCGAGUGUAGAGGUGAAAUUCGUAGAUAUUCGGAAGAACACCAGUGGCGAAGGCGACUUACUGGACACAUAUUGACGCUGAGGUGCGAAAGCGUGGGGAGCAACAGGAU
Molecule: ribosomal RNA, 254 nt
Filed under: uncultured bacterium
Lineage: Bacteria
Description: partial 16S ribosomal RNA
Rfam family: Bacterial small subunit ribosomal RNA
Source: RNAcentral